This is a long non-coding RNA of Oreochromis aureus, 1219 nucleotides long. RefSeq lists it as uncharacterized. The record is from RefSeq and is a predicted model, not a curated record. The transcript has 4 exons. NCBI's taxonomy places the organism in Eukaryota, Metazoa, Chordata, Actinopteri, Cichliformes, Cichlidae.
UCUCAUCUGUGUUUCAUUAUAAGGAAAAACAGUAAGAAUUCCAGCUUUAACCUGCUAAUAUUCCCCAUACUCAGUCUAUAAUAGCACAGAGUUCCCAGUGAGUGCUAUUGGACUUUUGUUUGGCAGGAGGGCUAUUGAUUUCAUUAAGAAGACGUGUGGAGCACAUUACAGAAUGAUGACUGCUUCAUGGGAGGUCAACAAGAAAUCAAUACAAAAUUAUAUUACAGCUUCGACUAGCUGCGGUAAGUCCAGCUACUGAGCACAGCUGCCAACACUGGACUGGAAAACGGGGGGAAGACUUUUCCUGCAGGCAUUUCUUGUGAGAACAAAACAUGGUGAGGUAAAAAAAAAGAAAAAAAAAGGACUGAGGAUUAACCCUGGCCUUGUCUGUCGGCACAAGGCUGAAGAAGUUGAAGUGGACUUUCAAACCAAAGGAACUACGAUACCACUGAUCUGUGGACUGGAGGUCUGGUCCUGAUGUGGAGGCCAGACGGGCGGGAUGGUAUGCCAGCUAAUCCUCCUUUGUCCUCCUGCUGGUGUGGGACUGGCUCCUUGGAGAGGAAGGACCUGUUCAAUAGUAAAGGGCUGAGAACAGAAGUGAUGCCUACUAUCUCACCAUAAAAAAGGAUACAUCGCAAAGAAAACCUAAAAAAGUCAUACCUUCAAGAAGAGCCCAGCGUGUGAGAGCAUGGGAGUGCAGCAGGAUAGGCUGUAUGUGUUCUUGGUUUAACCUUGUCACAUAUGAUUCAACACUUUGCAUAACACUGCCUGGAUGUAAGGCACCUCGAAUGCAAGGUCAGUGUUGUUAGUGAGAUACCCCAUUGCAUCAACACUGAAUCUAUGACAGGCAUACUUGAGCUCACCCCCCCUCCUCUGCAUUCCCUUUUCUUUUCCUAUAAUUACACCUUCCAUACUUUACAGUUUAAGAAAUUGUGUCAGUCGGUGCAGUAUCAACUCGUGCAAAGGGCUUCCUCUCCUGAAAGCAGCACAUGACACUGAACCGAUAUCUAACAUAAGUAUUUAACCAUAUUCAAACACAUAUUUCCAUUUACUAAUUUAUGUCUGAGAACACAUCCUCUUUCAGAGCAUGCGGAGGGAUAAAUCGAGCAAAUAAACAGCUUGAGGUCUACCUGCAACUGUACAUACUGAAUAAGCAACUUCAAGCAAAUCUGCAUACAUUUAUCGGAUGCCACUGUGCAUGCCUUAUUAUUAAUUUCCC